This 734-nucleotide long non-coding RNA is filed under the name Scleropages formosus (Asian bonytongue). RNAcentral's name for it is "lncRNA (ENSSFOG00015032513.1)". The record is from RNAcentral. Lineage: Eukaryota; Metazoa; Chordata; Actinopteri; Osteoglossiformes; Osteoglossidae.
AUAAAUGUAAAUGUGAACAUGUGUGUUAAGGUAACUGUGUGUGUUUGUGAGCGAAUGACUGCGUGCUGUCGCCCCCUGCUAUGGACUGGCGUCCUCUCCACUGCGUUACCCUGCCGAACGCCCUACGCUUCCGAGAUAGACUCCGGACCACGGCGACCCUCGCUGUACUCGUGGUAAUUGAUAACGGACGAAUGUUUGCGCUAAAGGAAAAGCCUCGGGACGGAUAUAUAUGAGUAAAUCAGCCAGAUAUGUUUAAUGACGAACGGAAGAAAUCCAGCCGCGGCUCACAUGCAAGACACCGAACGGUCCGCGAGUACAAAUGCGUUCCGUGUCCAACAAGAGCUGAUAGUGUCUGGAAAAGGGACGCUGAGCUCCGUCCCGCUGGCUGACGUCCACGGCAGGACAAGGCCUCCGCUUUCCCCAAUUACCGCUAAACAGAACUUAAUGGGACGCUUUUUGAAAGCUAGACCUCAUCACAGAAUCACGACUGUAACAGAAGCACAUCUUCCAGCGACUGCCUUUCCCACACCUCCGUGAUGUGGGUGCGGAUACGCGGAUACGGAGCAGGGACGCUGACUGCGGCGACAGGAACGGGGCUCGUUGGGCCCAUAGGGGUGACCUUCAUUGCUGGGACGGGCGCAAGGAGCAGGCGAGUCGUCAUUUCAACAGGUCGUUCCAGGACGAAGGACUGGACAUUGCGAGUGUGCGGUUUUAACAAGGCGAUUCCUAAACUG